UCCCAGUGUUCUCAGGGAGGAGAGA
This 25-nucleotide unclassified non-coding RNA is filed under the name Mus musculus (house mouse). RNAcentral describes it as "oocyte_clustered_small_RNA3911". The record is from RNAcentral. Lineage: Eukaryota; Metazoa; Chordata; Mammalia; Rodentia; Muridae.